CAGUCUACAGGUUCGCCUGGGUAGUUACCGGCUCUGGAGAAAGCAGCGACGAAAAACCGGGGCCCCACUGGGACCCCGAAAGGACGGAUCGUAAGACGUUCGGCUACCCUGUCUGGCCGACGGGUACGGAGUCGGAGCCGUCCGC
RNAcentral lists this unclassified non-coding RNA (145 nucleotides) under plant metagenome. RNAcentral's name for it is "partial contains 5.8S ribosomal RNA, internal transcribed spacer 2, and large subunit ribosomal RNA". The record is from RNAcentral.